This 268-nucleotide long non-coding RNA is filed under the name Phoenix dactylifera (date palm). RNAcentral describes it as "long non-coding RNA (PDAC_LNC006980)". The record is from RNAcentral. Lineage: Eukaryota; Viridiplantae; Streptophyta; Magnoliopsida; Arecales; Arecaceae.
AUGGUUAACCUAUUGCUCUGAUACCACUAGAUGUCACGCCCCGGACCCGGAUCCGUGACACGGCCGUGCUAUUGCUGACUACCGCCCACAAUAGCACGCAGCCUCAUACCUGGGUAACAGGGUAGUCAAACCAACCGAAUCUUUUCAUAUGAAAGCAUUCUUAGUACAACAUGCUGGUCAGUACCCAAAUACAGAGCUUCUAUGUAGUUUAUGUACACAAAAGUAUACUUGCUUUACCCCAAAAGAAAGAAGCCCUGAUACCAAAUUA